GGGAGUGAAAUAGAACCUGAAACCCUGCACUUACAAGCUGUGGAAGCACAUUUCUUGUGUGACCGCGUACUUUUUGUAGAACGGGCCAACGAGUUACGUUAAGUAGCACGGUUAAGCACUUAAGGUGCGGAGCCGUAGCGAAAGCGAGUUUUAACUGAGCGUUCAGUUACUUGACGUAGACCCGAAACCGGGCGACCUACCCAUGAGCAGGAUGAAGCGAAAGUAAAAUUUCGUGGAGGUCCGAACCCACGAGCGUUGAAAAGCUCGGGGAUGACUUGUGGGUAGCGGUGAAAUUCCAAUCGAGCCCGGAGAUAGCUGGUUCUCCCCGCAAUAGCUUUAGGGCUAGCCUCAAGGUGAGAGAUAC
RNAcentral lists this ribosomal RNA (364 nucleotides) under Clostridioides difficile. RNAcentral describes it as "partial 23S ribosomal RNA". It matches the Rfam family "Bacterial large subunit ribosomal RNA", at positions 534 to 897 of the family's 2925-position model. Lineage: Bacteria; Bacillati; Bacillota; Clostridia; Peptostreptococcales; Peptostreptococcaceae. The record is from RNAcentral.